AAUAUUGGACAAUGGGGGGAACCCUGAUCCAGCCAUGCCGCGUGUGUGCAGACGGUCUUCGGAUUGUAAAGCACUUUAAGUUGGGAGGAAGAGUUGUAGGCUAAUACCUUGCAAUUUUGACGUUACCAACAGAAUAAGCACCUGCUAACUUCGUGCCAGCAGCCGCGGUAAUACGAGUGGUGCAAGCGUUAAUCGGAAUUAUUGGGCGUAAAGCGAGCGUAGGUGGUUCGUUAAGUUGGAAGUGAAAGCCCCGGGCUUAACCUGGGAAUUGCGUUCAAAACUGACGAGCUAGAGUACGGUAGAGGGUAGUGGAAUUUCCUGUGUAGCGGUGAAAUGCGUAGAUAUAGGAAGGAACAUCAGUGGCGAAGGCGACUACCUGGACCGGUAUUGACGCUGAGGUGCGAAAGCGUGGGGAGCAAACAGG
RNAcentral lists this ribosomal RNA (424 nucleotides) under uncultured bacterium. RNAcentral describes it as "partial 16S ribosomal RNA". It matches the Rfam family "Bacterial small subunit ribosomal RNA", at positions 360 to 776 of the family's 1533-position model. The record is from RNAcentral.